This 18-nucleotide ribosomal RNA is filed under the name Gyrodactylus rogatensis. RNAcentral describes it as "partial 18S rRNA". The record is from RNAcentral. Lineage: Eukaryota; Metazoa; Platyhelminthes; Monogenea; Gyrodactylidea; Gyrodactylidae.
GUGACUGCGGAGGAUCAU